This 146-nucleotide ribosomal RNA is filed under the name Bacillus velezensis. Its description in RNAcentral is "partial 16S ribosomal RNA". The stretch from base 23 to 146 matches the Rfam family "Bacterial small subunit ribosomal RNA", at positions 60 to 179 of the family's 1533-position model. The record is from RNAcentral. Lineage: Bacteria; Bacillati; Bacillota; Bacilli; Caryophanales; Bacillaceae.
CGGCAGUUCGGUGCUAUAAUGCAGUCGAGCGCGACAGAUGGGAGCUUGCUCCCUGAUGUUAGCGGCGGACGGGUGAUUAACACGUGGGUAACCUGCCUGUAAGACUGGGAUAACUCCGGGAAACCGGGGCUAAUACCGGAUGGUUG